Portunus trituberculatus (swimming crab) is the source of this 883-nucleotide long non-coding RNA. RefSeq lists it as uncharacterized. NCBI's taxonomy places the organism in Eukaryota, Metazoa, Arthropoda, Malacostraca, Decapoda, Portunidae. The record is from RefSeq and is a predicted model, not a curated record. The transcript is spliced from 3 exons.
GGGCUCUUCUCAACGACGGCUGGUGGGGGGGAGGUGGGACCACCUCUCCCUGGCUGGACGUCUUCGCAUAGCUGUGUGUGUGAGUGUAUUUCAUGUGUGGCGGCCAGCGAUGGGACCCGAGCUUCCCGUCUCUUCAGGUUAAGGUAUUGUGAUACAUACUUCAUUCUGCACCUCAGCGCGGGAGCAACUCGUCAGCGGUAAAGUGCCAGUCGCCUUUGUUGCAUGCUCUUUUCUUUUCAGCCGCGUCACGUACUAAUGCUAAUGUGUUUGCUUUCCAGGACACGCUAAUCACUUGCUCUAUUUUACCUUCCAGCACAUGCUAAUCACUUGUUUUGCCUUCCAGGACACACUAAUAAAUGAUUUUGUCUUCCACGUAGGUUUUUUUCGGAGUGUUUACUGCGCACCCUCCUCAGGGAAAACUAAAUUAGGUUUCCCGAAGGUUACAGCUGCCUUGUAAUCUUCGAGAAACCUGAUUUUUCUCCUUCCGGUUACUUUCAUAGAUCAAACCUUUUUUUUUCUCUCUUUUUCUCCUUCUGUCUUAUGUUUACGUCAACGUCCCCCUCACACGCCUCAGAUCUCCCCUCCACCACCGCCACCUGUUAUCAUCCUGUAGUCAUUCCUCCGCUCCACCCUUGUCCUCUGUCAGUCUUUCAUCCGCCUCUCCUCUCUGCGUCCACCCUUUUUCACUCACCCACCCACAUGCGACUUCACAAGAGCACCGCCACACCAGGCCCUUGUGCGCCUUCGUCAAAGUGUCCUGCUACAGCUGUGGUGGUGGGUCGCUGCCCUCUGGAAAACAUGCCGGUUCGUCCCUCCAUAGUGGUGAAUCAUGGAAUUGGUUACGUUACCAAGACUGCACUUACGAACUGAAGCACGUGCCGCC